CAGUAGCCGCGGGAAUACGUAGGUGGCAAGCGUUGUCAGGAAUUAUUGGGCGUAAAGGGCUCGCAGGCGGUUUCUUAAGUCUGAUGUGAAAGCCCCCGGCUCAACCGGGGAGGGUCAUUGGAAACUGGGAAACUUGAGUGCAGAAGAGGAGAGUGGAAUUCCACGUGUAGCGGUGAAAUGCGUAGAGAUGUGGAGGAACACCAGUGCCGAAGGCGACUCUCUGGUCUGUAACUGACGCUGAGGAGCGAAAGCGUGGGGAGCGAACAGGAUUAGAUACCCCAGUAGUCCCUGUCUCUUAUAC
RNAcentral lists this ribosomal RNA (301 nucleotides) under uncultured bacterium. RNAcentral's name for it is "partial 16S ribosomal RNA". It matches the Rfam family "Bacterial small subunit ribosomal RNA", at positions 509 to 807 of the family's 1533-position model. The record is from RNAcentral.